This 708-nucleotide ribosomal RNA is filed under the name bacterium enrichment culture. RNAcentral's name for it is "bacterial SSU rRNA". It matches the Rfam family "Bacterial small subunit ribosomal RNA", at positions 77 to 803 of the family's 1533-position model. The record is from RNAcentral.
CCUUCGGGAAGUGGAUUAGCGGCGGACGGGUGAGUAACACGUGGGUAACCUGCCUCAAAGUGGGGGAUAGCCUUCCGAAAGGAAGAUUAAUACCGCAUAACAUAAGAGAAUCGCAUGAUUUUCUUAUCAAAGAUUUAUUGCUUUGAGAUGGACCCGCGGCGCAUUAGCUAGUUGGUAAGGUAACGGCUUACCAAGGCAACGAUGCGUAGCCGACCUGAGAGGGUGAUCGGCCACAUUGGAACUGAGACACGGUCCAGACUCCUACGGGAGGCAGCAGUGGGGAAUAUUGCGCAAUGGGGGAAACCCUGACGCAGCAACGCCGCGUGGGUGAUGAAGGUCUUCGGAUUGUAAAGCCCUGUUUUCUGGGACGAUAAUGACGGUACCAGAGGAGGAAGCCACGGCUAACUACGUGCCAGCAGCCGCGGUAAUACGUAGGUGGCGAGCGUUGUCCGGAUUUACUGGGCGUAAAGGGUGCGUAGGCGGAUGUUUAAGUGGGAUGUGAAAUCCCCGGGCUUAACCUGGGGGCUGCAUUCCAAACUGGAUAUCUAGAGUGCAGGAGAGGAAAGCGGAAUUCCUAGUGUAGCGGUGAAAUGCGUAGAGAUUAGGAAGAACACCAGUGGCGAAGGCGGCUUUCUGGACUGUAACUGACGCUGAGGCACGAAAGCGUGGGUAGCAAACAGGAUUAGAUACCCUGGUAGUCCACGCCGU